This 205-nucleotide ribosomal RNA is filed under the name Alexandrium margalefii. RNAcentral's name for it is "partial Bacterial small subunit ribosomal RNA". It matches the Rfam family "Bacterial small subunit ribosomal RNA", at positions 528 to 732 of the family's 1533-position model. Lineage: Eukaryota; Dinophyceae; Gonyaulacales; Pyrocystaceae. The record is from RNAcentral.
AAGGGGGCUAGCGUUGUUCGGAAUUACUGGGCGUAAAGCGCACGUAGGCGGACUUUUAAGUCAGAUGUGAAAUCCCGGGGCUCAACCUCGGAACUGCAUUUGAAACUGGAAGUCUAGAGACCAGGAGAGGUUAGCGGAAUACCGAGUGUAGAGGUGAAAUUCGUAGAUAUUCGGUGGAACACCAGUGGCGAAGGCGGCUAACUGG